This 155-nucleotide ribosomal RNA is filed under the name bacterium. Its description in RNAcentral is "partial 16S ribosomal RNA". It matches the Rfam family "Bacterial small subunit ribosomal RNA", at positions 1375 to 1533 of the family's 1533-position model. The record is from RNAcentral.
CGGGUCUUGUACACACCGCCCGUCACACUACCUGAAUUGUGGAUACUUGAAGCCAUCGUAAGGUGUCUAGGGUAUGCUCAGUAAGGGGAGUGAAGUCGUAACAAGGUAGCCGUAUCGGAAGGUGCGGCUGGAUCACCUCCUUUUAGGAGUAAAUU